RNAcentral lists this ribosomal RNA (253 nucleotides) under uncultured bacterium. Its description in RNAcentral is "partial 16S ribosomal RNA". It matches the Rfam family "Bacterial small subunit ribosomal RNA", at positions 524 to 776 of the family's 1533-position model. The record is from RNAcentral.
GACGGAGGAUGCAAGCGUUAUCCGGAAUGAUUGGGCGUAAAGCGUCCGCAGGUGGCAGUUCAAGUCUGCUGUCAAAGACCGGGGCUUAACUUCGGAAAGGCAGUGGAAACUGAACAGCUAGAGUAUGGUAGGGGCAGAGGGAAUUCCUGGUGUAGCGGUGAAAUGCGUAGAGAUCAGGAAGAACAUCGGUGGCGAAGGCGCUCUGCUGGACCAUAACUGACACUCAGGGACGAAAUCUAGGGGAGCGAAUGGG